This is a long non-coding RNA of Oncorhynchus tshawytscha (Chinook salmon), 1240 nucleotides long. NCBI's taxonomy places the organism in Eukaryota, Metazoa, Chordata, Actinopteri, Salmoniformes, Salmonidae. The record is from Ensembl.
GCAGUGAUGAAAUGAUCGUAGCAGACCCUGUACUGACAGCUGUCUGGGUUCAGGUCUUAACGGGCAGAAAGGUUUCUGCGCUUUUCUGACAGUUCUUCAGUCUUAUCUCGGUGUUUCAUGAUAGCGGGGAAUCUGUAAACAUGUGUUUUCUCCGUUGUCUUUCUUCCCUUGUUAGAGCACACAGGGAAUGACAGUAGUGAAGAAUCAACUCGUUUUCGGCACCGUUAUUAUACAGUUUGGGGAAGCAACUCCGCUGCUGUCGGAAGAAUUAAUGCGCUGGUCUUCCAACAUGGCGGCCAGGAGGCGUCGUGUGUUAACUGCGAGCACUCUAUAGUUAAUGUUCUAUGUUUGAGCUGCUUUUGAAAGCUAAAGUCGAAUUGAAAACAUUAUUGACAUUGUUAAAUUCCAUUUUCAUAAUGGCAAGCUAGGAAUGAUGGUUUGGUUAGAUAAACUAGCGAGUCUGUUUGGUUACCACGGCUCCUACUGUAGCUAUCUAUCCAACUUAAACCCAUUUCGAGUGGUACAUGAACCCAUUUCUAGCGGAUGUUGAACCCAGUUCUAGUGGUAAAUGAACCCAGUUCUAGUGGUAAAUGUGUUAAAUUAUAGCCAUGGUAUGUAAGGGCUAAUCAACCAGGGGCUGCGUCCCAUGACGCAGUAGCGGAGCGACUUUCCGCGGUGUUGAUUUCUUUCCCAUAGAGCCCCGAGUUGAUUAUCCCUUUUUUAGUGUUGGUAUGAAAUGGUCUAUGUCAUUGACAUGGGAUGGAUAUCUUCUCACAUUGAUGAUUCUUUCAUCAUAGAUAAGAAAAGACAGUGGAAUGUCUAAACUAUCAUCAGAUCGACCCGAACGGAAGUGGCAGCUGCGGUGUAUUAGUUACGGAAACGUAAACGUCACCACAGAAGCGAACAGAGCAAAACGAGAGUUUCCAUUGGACAAAUUCAGGAAGGUCCAUCCCUGUUUCGUAUCCUGAAUGUUAUGCCACAUAAUUGGCGUAAUGAAAACGCCCCUGAAUAUCCAAACAGCAGACAUACAGUAGGGGACUUUUCCAGACCAGACUCGGCAGGGCAGACGUCUCUAAGGGUGUCAUCAGUGUCCGUGAAGGAGGACAACCUUUUAUUCCCCUCAGACAGACAUCUUUAUUUCCUUAUACCUGGUUAAUCUCUUCUGUCAUGGAGACCUAAAGUCCCCCAGGAGGGAUGUUCCAAUCGGGGGGAGAGGGCUGACCCGCCAUGCCCAGGGGGG